CAAGAAGAACCGAUGUGCAUCCAAAACACGCUAAACACUGUUUCACUUAAGUUGUCCCUCUCACUCAGCUUCACCAAAAACUAAAGUUGUCUUUCUCAACCUAAUUUUUUCACUCCCCGCUCAAUGUUGAGUUUCCCUCUCCAUGAAAAUUCCCUUUCCUCUCGAUGAAGCCCUCUCUCCCUAUCUGAGUUCAAACCCUCUCUCUCUCUCUCCCUCUCUAUCACAUCUCUGCACCUAAACCCUCUCUCCCCAGCUCUACCUUUUCUAAGCCGACUCUCACAUCUCAGAGAGACAGAGGCAACGAGGAGGUGGACUUCGGUCGGCUUCGUCACGAGGAUCGACGUCGGCGCCGUCUUCUGGAUCGUCGUCGGCGCCAUCUUUUGGAUAGUCGUCAUCGCAGGUAACUUCUCUUCGAGGUCCAGAGAGCGAAUCAGAAAGACAGUCGAAAAGGUGAUGGCCAUCGGUGUCAUCGAUCGCGGUCACGGUCAUCGCGGUCCUAGCCUUUUAGAGAAGAAGAUCGGCAAAGGGGUUUCAUUUCAUUUUCCUCGACUCUCCGACGCCAACCCCGACCCCAACUCCAAUCCUCUCUUCGAUCUCGGACCUCAAGAUCCAUAUCUCUUGUUUGGGAGUCUGCAGGAUCUUGUGGACUUGCUGGAAUUGAAUGUGCCUCUCAUAUAUAAUAUACAUAGACAGCUGGGGAGUGGCUGGACCAAGAUUCCAUAGAGGAAUUGGGCUUUUACAAUUUAACUGGAGGAAUCCCACAAUCCAUGAGUGUUUUAAAUUUAAUUCACUUGUAAUUUCUAAACUACAAUACCUUGACCUUUGGGGGAGUAAAAUAUCUGACCAAGCUAGUUGCUGGAUUAGCAGCUGAAAUUGUUGGCAGGACCAAGUCUGAAGCUAACAACUAUGAAAGCCUACAUGGUAGUAUAUAUGUCAUUAACUUUCUCUCCGAAUCUCUCUCUCAGUAAAGCAGGUAGUACUGGAUUAGUCCUCAAGCUGCUAUCAUUCUAAAGUCGCAUAGAUCUUUUUGCUAAGUUUAGGUUGUUGCUAAACAGGUUUAUGUUUAAGGUUAUUGGGGUCUCUUUCGUGCAGGUCCUUCCGACACCACCAACUUGAAAAAUGUGCAAGAGGCAGAGCUAAGUCAACCCAAUUACAAAUUGAUGAAGUUAAGAUCAAAUUAGUAGAAUUUGUGAGCUCCAUUAUUAUGUCUAAUUAUAGGUAGGAAGUAUGUAUGUAAUAGAAUAAAGAUUGGUUGACUAUGUAAUAAUUAUUGAAUCUUCAAGUUUUAUGAAAGAAAUAAUUUUUGAGUGUAUA
Molecule: long non-coding RNA, 1314 nt
Organism: Prunus persica (peach)
Lineage: Eukaryota; Viridiplantae; Streptophyta; Magnoliopsida; Rosales; Rosaceae
Exons: 6
Source: RefSeq, a predicted model, not a curated record